Juglans microcarpa x Juglans regia is the source of this 473-nucleotide long non-coding RNA. RefSeq lists it as uncharacterized. NCBI's taxonomy places the organism in Eukaryota, Viridiplantae, Streptophyta, Magnoliopsida, Fagales, Juglandaceae. The record is from RefSeq and is a predicted model, not a curated record. The transcript has 2 exons.
CACCACCUCCGGCAUCUCCUCCCCCACCCCGUAACAAAUCUCCACCACCACCUCCCCCAUCUCCUCCCCCACCCCAUAACAAGUCUCCACCACCACCUUUUCCAUCUCCUCCUCCACCCUGCUACAAAUCCCCCCCACCACCUUCUCCAUCUCCGCCUCCACCUAGCUACAAAUCUCCACCUCCACCAUCAAGCUCAUCUCCUUGUACUUAAGACUACAAGUACCUAAGACCUCACAUCAUUUACUAAACAAAUCACAAUUUCUAUGAGAUUAUGUACCUUAUAAAUUGAUAAAAGAAUAAUUGUUGCUGAAAUACUCAGACUCUAUUAUCGAGCUUUGGAUUAUCAUUAUAACUCAAUGCCAAUUAUCAAGGCAACCGUUCAAGACAACGGAGAUAUGAUAUGCCUGGCAGCUCUUGUGCAAUAUAUAAAUGUAUUUUAUUGGCUUGAUAUAAUGAAACGAUGGUUACAUGA